Molecule: ribosomal RNA, 504 nt
Filed under: uncultured bacterium
Lineage: Bacteria
Description: partial 16S ribosomal RNA
Rfam family: Bacterial small subunit ribosomal RNA
Source: RNAcentral
GACGAACGCUGGCGGCGUGCCUAAUACAUGCAAGUAGAACGCACAGUUUAUACCGUAGCUUGCUACACCAUAGACUGUGAGUUGCGAACGGGUGAGUAACGCGUAGGUAACCUGCCUGGUAGCGGGGGAUAACUAUUGGAAACGAUAGCUAAUACCGCAUAAUAUUAAUUAUUGCAUGAUAAUUAAUUGAAAGGUGCAAUUGCACCACUACCAGAUGGACCUGCGUUGUAUUAGCUAGUAGGUGAGGUAACGGCUCACCUAGGCGACGAUACAUAGCCGACCUGAGAGGGUGAUCGGCCACACUGGGACUGAGACACGGCCCAGACUCCUACGGGAGGCAGCAGUAGGGAAUCUUCGGCAAAGGACGAAAGUCUGACCGAGCAACGCCGCGUGAGUGAAGAAGGUUUUCGGAUCGUAAAGCUCUGUUGUAAGAGAAGAACGGGUGUGAGGGUGGAAAGUUCACACUGUGACGGUAUCUUACCAGAAAGGGACGGCUAACUACGU